ACUAGACCGUCUAAGAAAUUUUGAAAUUGAAACGAAAGAAACGUAACCAAACCCUAACGCUCUCCACCCUCAACGCCACCGCAUCGCAACGCCAUAGCCGUCUCUGAAGCAGUGUUCCUCUGUCAACGUUAUAGAUCUCUCAACUCAGCACCGCCACAACCCUUUCAACUCAGUCGCUCUCGUCUCUCCGGUACGAAAAUUGUCAUCCCCUCCUUCUCUUCUUCAANNCCUUCUCUUCUUCAAUUUAUGACAUUUUCCCUUUUUUCUUUGUUUUGAGUUCAACGAAGACCCUGUGAAUCCAAUCGGUAGGAGGAAGAUUUUAAGCACUUAUUCCAGAAAAACAAGGUUGUUGAUGUAAGUGCUCAAUUCAAACUCUUCAAUUUUUUCAUUUUUUAAUUUAUUCCAUGUUAAGAUAAUAAUGGUGGUGAUUUCUCUAUGUUUUGUAACUUCUGUAUAUUAUGAUAAAAAAAUUGUCACUUUGAUCUAACUUUAAAAAAACCCCUUUGUUUGACACUAAUAUUUUCGUCAAAUUAGACUUGUCCAGGAUACUAUUAUUAUUAGAUUCGUUAGGUAUACUAUUAUUCUUAUUGAGAUUUGUGUUUCAUAUCUCGAAUUUGAUUGAUUAAUGUAUGUAUUUGGUCAAAUUUCAAUUUACAUUGCAGACAUGUUUGAGGCUUAAUCUGAUUUAGGCCUGUUUGUUUCAGAUUUUCCAGCAAAAAAAUCUAUUUUUUUUAAAAAAAAUGACUUUUUUUUUAUUUUACUUGUGUUUGUUUCAGAAUUUUUGAAAAAUCAUUUUUUUUCUUCAAAAUGAAAAGCUAUUUUCAAUAGCUUUCUUCAAAAUCUAUUUUUUUGAAAACCAUUUUCUAAAAAAAUAGAUUGUUGUGAUUGUAAACAAACAAAAAAUAGCUUUAGAUUUUCUUCAGAAUCUCUACAAAAAAAUCUCUAGAAUUUUUUCAAAAAAAAUCAUUUUUUUUAAAGCUUAAACAAACAGGCCCUUAACUAUCUAUUUUCUCCAUUUUUCACUAUUUUUUGACACUAUAUCUUCUAAUUUUACAAUCCUUGAACAACCAUGUCACUUCUUCUUUGAAAUAGAGUUAUUACAUUUUCUCCUUUUUCAGAUGCCUUCCAUAGAAAAUCAUUUGCACAUGGCUCUCCACUAUUUUCUGUAUCAUGUUUUCAAGCUAACUGCUAUCUUUCUUUCAUUGAUAGAUGAUAUAUUAAUGCAUAUAUAUGUCUUUAUCAUUACUUUAGAUGGAAGAAAUUUGUAGACCUAGUGGGCGACCUAAAGGAUCUAUAUAUCGAAGACAAUCAAAUCUACGUUUGAUGGACCUCGCAACAAUUGGAAAUGUUGUUACGAUAAAAUAAACAAAAUGUGGUUUAAUGAGUAUCCGGUAAUGUGUGUUGUUUAUUUUCUAUCAUUUCAUAUAAUGUUAUAACUUCAAAUUAUGCAGAAACUAUUAAUGAACAGAAGUACUAAUACCAUGG
RNAcentral lists this long non-coding RNA (1485 nucleotides) under Trifolium pratense (red clover). Its description in RNAcentral is "long non-coding RNA (TPRA_LNC003616)". The record is from RNAcentral. Lineage: Eukaryota; Viridiplantae; Streptophyta; Magnoliopsida; Fabales; Fabaceae.